GACGGGGGAUGCAAGCGUCAUCCGGAAUCACUGGGCGUAAAGCGUCUGUAGGUGGUGAUGCAAGUCACUGGUGCAAAACUCUGGCUCAACCGGAGGAAAGCCAGUGAAACUGCAUGACUAGAGUGUGGGAGAGGUAGAAGGAAUUCCCUGAGUAGCGGUGAAAUGCGUAGGUACAGGGAAGAACACCGGAGGCGAAAGCGUUCUACUGGAACACAACUGACAAUGAGAGACGAAAGCUAGGGGAGCGAAUGGG
Molecule: ribosomal RNA, 253 nt
Filed under: uncultured bacterium
Lineage: Bacteria
Description: partial 16S ribosomal RNA
Rfam family: Bacterial small subunit ribosomal RNA
Source: RNAcentral